CAUCUGCACUGUUGCUUUAAACUCAUCCAUUUUCUUAACCCACUAAUUCAUUUAUAAGAAAGUGUAGGAGGAGCGCAUUCACCUCUUCAAUUUGGACAUCCCCCUGGAAAAGCCCAGUUCUCCCAGAGCUGAGACUACAGGAAGCGACAGGCUGCGGAUGAGAUCAUGACCGCUAAAGAACUCAAGCAGUGUUCCAGUUCCCACAGCCGCGAAGCGCAGCGCCCUGAGAGGCUGAUGUCUGACUGCUGACGCAUGAACUGCCUCCACCAAAGCUACCGUGGAUUCUGUGAACACGCUUCUGCAGGAAAAAGGAAUCAGAAAAGAACCCUCCAAGCCUCGGCUUUUUCUCUCUGUUACCAUCAUGUUGGUGGGAGUUCUGAUCCUGUUUGCCUCUGAAAUGGUAUUUUCUGCCCUGGCACUCCUCUGUGGAAUUAUGGACUCUUUUGGCGGUCUCAUGUACUCCCAGGAGGACGUCUUGUAUGAGCAGUCCAUUUCAAACACAGAAGCAACGCUCCUCCAGUCUGGGACUAAACACGGUCACACUUGAACUGCUGGAUCCUUCUUUACAGACUGUUUAUACAAUGAAGCACAACUAUAUGUUGCAAGCUGUUUGGAAACUGGAAGGCUGCUGAAGUCCUGGAAAGUACCCACCGCUCUGAUGACCAAUGAAACGACACUACUGAGCAACAAUUUGCACUUUUGUUUUUGAAAUGUCAAUAAAGUUUUGUUAAUAAGCUGAAAUGCAAUGCAGGUCAUCUUUUGUUUGCUCCAAAUUUUACACCGGUGUUACAGGAAUGUGUCCUGGUUUGGCCUGAAAGCCGAUACCGUCCGGGUUUACCAAUUAAUUAGAGUAGGGGCGGUGCUUGUUUUAAUCGUCAUGCUUGUUUUUAUGUUUUAUUGUGUUUUAAUGUAAAGCACUUUGUGUUGUAUUUUUAUAUAAAAAGUGCUUUAUAGAUAAAGUUUUGAUUGACA
Long non-coding RNA from Oryzias latipes (Japanese medaka), 972 nucleotides. RefSeq lists it as uncharacterized. Lineage: Eukaryota; Metazoa; Chordata; Actinopteri; Beloniformes; Adrianichthyidae. The record is from RefSeq and is a predicted model, not a curated record.